UACGUAGGGGGCAAGCGUUAUCCGGAUUUACUGGGUGUAAAGGGAGCGUAGACGGCUGUGCAAGUCUGAAGUGAAAGGCAUGGGCUCAACCUGUGGAGUGCUUUGGAAACUGUGCAGCUAGAGUGUCGGAGAGGUAAGUGGAAUUCCUAGUGUAGCGGUGAAAUGCGUAGAUAUUAGGAGGAACACCAGUGGCGAAGGCGGCUUACUGGACGAUGACUGACGUUGAGGCUCGAAAGCGUGGGGAGCAAACAGG
RNAcentral lists this ribosomal RNA (253 nucleotides) under Dorea formicigenerans. Its description in RNAcentral is "partial 16S ribosomal RNA". It matches the Rfam family "Bacterial small subunit ribosomal RNA", at positions 524 to 776 of the family's 1533-position model. The record is from RNAcentral. Lineage: Bacteria; Bacillati; Bacillota; Clostridia; Lachnospirales; Lachnospiraceae.